AGCAACAGUAAUGGUGUAACUUUUUAUAGGGUUUGAACAGCAUUAAUGGUUCUGUUUCCUCCUGUGUUCCUCCUCUUGUUUCUGUUAUUUAAUGUCCAUUAAAAUACAUAUAAAUGGUUUGCACACCUUCGCUUAAGUUUUGAUCUUGCUGAGCGGAUUUCUCUGAAAUGUGUAACACGUUCUGAAACAGACAAAAGAGAUGUUCUUGAAGCCGGCCCUACCCUCCAUGAGUGGAAUCAGGAUGUUGGACAGAGGGGCAGGGCGCCGGCCUGUUAAAUAUUGACUGCAGGUGUAAUCAUUAACCUUCCACCAACCCCUGCUCUCUUAAACUGGCGGCUCUGCCUUGGUGCCAUUGCCUUGCUGUCACCGCUGACGUUUGCGUCGAAAAAUGCUCCCUUUUUCCCGCUCGCCGUCUCCUCUCGCCUUCGCCUCUUCUGGUCUGCUUUUCGUGGGCUGAUCCUCGUCUCAACCUGCGUGACCUUCACGCGUCUCAGCACGCCACCGCUCUCCAAAACCUUUGGCCUCGUGUGUGAACUCCAGUGAUCCAUGCAAAGGCCUUGGCCCUUUGGCCGCGCUGGAUGAGGAGCAAUGAUGCCGUUUAUGCUUCAAGCUGUAAAAACUGGGAGGAGGAAAUUGCUCGGGGCAAAGUCGAUGGCUGAGAGGAGUCUCCUUCAGAGUUAACUUCUGCCGUCUUUGCUCUCCCUUCGUUAAACACCACAAGACAAGCCUUCUGGUGCUUGCUGGAUGUAACAGCAACUCCAUGUGGAAGCUGUACGUGUUCCAGUGGAGGUGCUGUUACCUGCAGAGAACGCCAAACCCCGCCGGGAAACGUGGAGAUGUCACGGAAGAGCGUCCGGGCACAAGGUGAUGACCUAUGAAUUGACAGCCAGUUACUUCUAACAUCUGCCUGUCAGUUCUGUAGGCCACUGCUGCGUUUGUCCCACUGAGCGCGCUCAGGUGCGCACAAGAGAAUGCUAACGUCACAGAGUUCCCACACGAAUGCAAUAAAAAUGUUGGAUUUUCCUAUAAAUAAAGACUGAAAAUGUUG
Long non-coding RNA from Oryzias melastigma (Indian medaka), 1048 nucleotides. RefSeq lists it as uncharacterized. Lineage: Eukaryota; Metazoa; Chordata; Actinopteri; Beloniformes; Adrianichthyidae. The transcript has 2 exons. The record is from RefSeq and is a predicted model, not a curated record.